RNAcentral lists this ribosomal RNA (435 nucleotides) under uncultured bacterium. RNAcentral describes it as "partial 16S ribosomal RNA". It matches the Rfam family "Bacterial small subunit ribosomal RNA", at positions 29 to 507 of the family's 1533-position model. The record is from RNAcentral.
AACGAACGCUGGCGGCAGGCCUAACACAUGCAAGUCGAACGGACAUCUUCGGCUGUUAGCGGCGGACGGGGGAGUAACGCGAGGAAACGUGCCCUUUGCUUCGGACUAGCCUCGAGAAACUGGGGGUAAUACCGGAUUUACCCUACGGGGGAAAGAUUUAUCGGCAAAGGAUCGGGCCGCGUUGGAUUAGGUAGUUGGUGCGGUAAUGGACUACCAAGCCGACGAUCCAUAGCUGGUUUGAGAGGAUGAUCAGCCACACCGGGACUGAGACACGGCCCAGACGCCUACGGGAAGCCGCAGUGGGGAAUCUUAGACAAGGGGGGAAAACCUGAUCCAGCCAUGCCGCGUGAGCGAUGAAGGCCUUAGGAUUGUAAAGGUCUUUCAGCGGGGAAGAUAAUGACGGUACCCGGAGAAGAAGACCCGGCUAACUCCGUG